Molecule: long non-coding RNA, 1647 nt
Organism: Equus caballus (horse)
Lineage: Eukaryota; Metazoa; Chordata; Mammalia; Perissodactyla; Equidae
Source: Ensembl
AAAGAAAAAAACCCACGAAGAUUGGUAACAGGUGUCACCACAGGUGCCAAUCUUUAAAAAACAACAACGACUUUGGUUUUCCUUUGCCCUCCUAUUUAAAUGACAUUCUGUCUCUGUAGCGGUCUUCAGCUGGUAACAUCGAUGUGCCCCCGGGGAGCACUCGUUCGCAAACUUGAGACCAUCUGCAUCAGCUGGAGGGCUUGUUAGACACAGAUCUGGGCCCCAUCCCCAGAGUUUCUCAUUCAACAGGCCUUGAGUGCAGCCCAGGAAUUUUCUGACAAGUUCCCUAGAGAUGCUGCUACUACUGCUGGUCCAGGCAUCUCACUUUGAGAAUCACUGGUCUGGAGUGUAAGUAGAAAGGGUCUGGGCGUGCCACCUGUGUUUGAAAACUGGGGCAUUGAUGCAUGAUUUAUAAGCUGCAGAAACUAUCACACGUGGUUCCGGCUGCUUUGAAUAUUCGUUGGUGGUUUGGUGUGUUUGCCCAGCACAUCAACUCGCCACUUUGUGGGUCUUGGUGAAGCCGAACUCAGCCUCCAUUCAGCCUCUUGGGUGAAUCCCCACUGACUGCGGCUGAGCAGACUGAGAAGAAACUGUAAAGAGAGGACCACAUCUCUAUGUGUUCAGAUUUUCAUUUCAGGGAAGCUCCAUCCUCCGGCUGGCAGCCUGCCCAGCUGUUAAAACUCUGAGGUUCCCUGAAGGAUGAACAAGCCCCAAGGGAGUGCAGAGGCAUGCUCUAACCUGCAACAGGUGCACACGGAGAAAGAACUCAAAUGGACAAAGGCCAAAAAUGCCACAGGAUUGCUUCUGGCAAGUGAAGCCAUGACCACUCCUUCCAAUUGUCCUGAUCAGUGUCUGCCCAUUUCCGUGGCAUAAAUAUUCCUAUAAUGGCUGACUGCAAGAUACCAACAGUUUAAAAACUGGUUCGCAAAAUUCCUGAAGAUUUAAUUAUUGGUAGAGAGCAAAACUAUUCUGAUUAGAAGACACACGGGAUGACCUAGGGGUGUAGCAAUAAAGCCCUAAUUAAUAGACUUCAUUUGCCUGCAGAGUCUCUUGUGGACUAGUCGCAGCAGGUAGCAAUCAGGGAUUCAGGGUCUGACCGUCUGAUCAUGUCUAGUCCUAGAUAGCAAAUCCCCAGCCUCGGUCACGUGCCCACUCCUGUUGCCAGGAUGUGUGACAGAGGAAGGGGGAGAAGAGAUGCUGGGAAGACGAAAUGUGGGAAACGAGAGAACCUGUGUUGGGGGUGAUUUCCCAGAAUCUAUCAGAAGCUCCAUUUUCAGGGAAGGUGGCUCUUUGACAAGCACUCAGCCUUUUGGAUUAGGCAACGAACUCAAAUUUGGGGCCCGCCACUUUUUCAGUGGAACCUUUAACCAUUUACUUACUCUAGAUUGGAUUUCUGACUUAGGAAGUUGCUACAAGGAUUGAAUACACCACGUGUAAGGCACUUGGUUGGUCCAGAUGUGCUCAGAGCUCACUUUCUUUCAAGCCCUGCAUUUAGUCAGCGAACACUUAUUGACUGCCUACUAUAUGUCAAUCUCUGUGCAUACAAGAACAAAUAAAAACGGAGUUUGUUAGGAUAGUUUCAACUAGAAUUGGAGAGUCUUACUUGGCAUCAAGAAUGUGGGGACAAAGCUGCUCCAAGGUCAGGCA